Non-coding RNA from Pelobates cultripes (western spadefoot toad), 284 nucleotides. The record is from the annotation of a GenBank genome assembly. NCBI's taxonomy places the organism in Eukaryota, Metazoa, Chordata, Amphibia, Anura, Pelobatidae.
GAUGGACUGGCCAAGCAUGUCUCCAGACCUAAACCCUAUUGAGCAUCUGUGGGGCAAGGUGGGGGAGCGCAAGGUCUCUAAUCUCCACCAGCUCCGUGAUGUUGUCAUGGAGGAGUGGAAGAGGACUCCAGUGGCAACCUGUGAAGCUCUGGUGAAUUCCAUGCCCAUGAGGAUUAAGGCAGUGCUGGAAAAUACUGGUGGCCACAAAUUUUUUUGACACUUUGGGCCCAAUUUGGACAUUUGCACUUAGGAGUGUACUCACUUUUGUUGCCAACGGUUUAUAC